This 492-nucleotide ribosomal RNA is filed under the name uncultured bacterium. RNAcentral describes it as "partial 16S ribosomal RNA". It matches the Rfam family "Bacterial small subunit ribosomal RNA", at positions 28 to 507 of the family's 1533-position model. The record is from RNAcentral.
GGUGAACGCUGGCGGUAGGCCUAACACAUGCAAGUCGAACGGCAGCACAGUAAGAGCUUGCUCUUACGGGUGGCGAGUGGCGGACGGGUGAGGAAUACAUCGGAAUCUACUUUUUCGUGGGGGAUAACGUAGGGAAACUUACGCUAAUACCGCAUACGACUUACGGGUGAAAGCAGGGGAUCUUCGGACCUUGCGCGAUUGAAUGAGCCGAUGUCGGAUUAGCUAGUUGGCGGGGUAAAGGCCCACCAAGGCGACGAUCCGUAGCUGGUCUGAGAGGAUGAUUAGCCACACUGGAACUGAGACACGGUCCAGACUCCUACGGGAGGCAGCAGUGGGGAAUAUUGGACAAUGGGCGCAAGCCUGAUCCAGCCAUACCGCGUGGGUGAAGAAGGCCUUCGGGUUGUAAAGCCCUUUUGUUGGGAAAGAAAAGCAGCAGGUUAAUACCCCGCUGUUCUGACGGUACCCAAAGAAUAAGCACCGGCUAACUUCGUG